CCUACGGGUGGCAGCAGUCGAGAAUCAUUCACAAUGGGGGAAACCCUGAUGCUGCGACGCCGCGUGGGGGAAUGAAGGUCUUCGGAUUGUAAACCCCUUUCAUGUGGGAGCAAAUUAAAAAGAUCGUACUACAAGAGGAAGAGCCGGCUAACUCUGUGCCAGCAGCCGCGGUCAUACAGAGGUCUCAAGCGUUAUUCGGAAUCACUGGGCGUAAAGCGUGCGUGGGCAGUUUCGUCAGUCGGGUGUGAAAGGUGCGGGCUCAACCCGCGGACGGCACAUGAUACUGCGAGACUAGAGUAAUGGAGGGGGAACCGGAAUUCUCGGUGUAGCAGUGAAAUGCGUAGAUAUCGAGAGGAACACUCGUGGCGAAGGCGGGUUGCUGGACAUUAACUGACGCUGAGGCACGAAGGCCAGGGGAGCGAAAGGGAUUAGAUACCCGAGUAGUC
Molecule: ribosomal RNA, 446 nt
Filed under: uncultured bacterium
Lineage: Bacteria
Description: partial 16S ribosomal RNA
Rfam family: Bacterial small subunit ribosomal RNA
Source: RNAcentral